This 895-nucleotide ribosomal RNA is filed under the name Virgaria nigra. RNAcentral's name for it is "LSU rRNA". It matches the Rfam family "Eukaryotic large subunit ribosomal RNA", at positions 38 to 964 of the family's 3401-position model. Lineage: Eukaryota; Fungi; Ascomycota. The record is from RNAcentral.
GCAUAUCAUAAGCAGAAGGAAAAGAAACCAACAGGGAUUGCCUUAGUAACGGCGAGUGAAGCGGCAACAGCUCAAAUUUGAAAUCUGGCCCUAGGUCCGAAUUGUAAUUUGUAGAGGAUGCUUUUGGUGCGGUACCUUCCGAGUUCCCUGGAACGGGACGCCUUAGAGGGUGAGAGCCCCGUACGGUUGGAUGCCUAGCCUCUGUAAAGCUCCUUCGACGAGUCGAGUAGUUUGGGAAUGCUGCUCUAAAUGGGAGGUAAAUUUCUUCUAAAGCUAAAUACCGGCCAGAGACCGAUAGCGCACAAGUAGAGUGAUCGAAAGAUGAAAAGCACUUUGAAAAGAGGGUUAAAUAGUACGUGAAAUUGUUGAAAGGGAAGCGCUUAUGACCAGACUUUUGCCUUACGGAUCAUCCGGUGUUCUCACCGGUGCACUUCGUUUGGUUCAGGCCAGCGUCGAUUUUGGUAGGGGGAUAAAGGCUUGGGAAACGUAGCUCUUCCGGGAGUGUUAUAGUCCCCUGCGUAAUACCUUUACCGGGAUCGAGGUUCGCGCUCUGCAAGGACGCUGGCAUAAUGGUCAUCAGUGACCCGUCUUGAAACACGGACCAAGGAGUCGAACAUUUGUGCGAGUGUUUGGGUGUUAAACCCUCACGCGUAAUGAAAGUGAACGGAGGUGAGAGCCUUAGGGUGCAUCAUCGACCGAUCCUGAUGUCUUCGGAUGGAUUUGAGUAAGAGCAUAACUGUUCGGACCCGAAAGAUGGUGAACUAUGCGUGGAUAGGGUGAAGCCAGAGGAAACUCUGGUGGAGGCUCGCAGCGGUUCUGACGUGCAAAUCGAUCGUCAAAUCUGCGCAUGGGGCGAAAGACUAAUCGAAACCAUCUAGUAGCUGGUUACCGCCGA